Molecule: long non-coding RNA, 3971 nt
Organism: Oncorhynchus keta (chum salmon)
Lineage: Eukaryota; Metazoa; Chordata; Actinopteri; Salmoniformes; Salmonidae
Exons: 3
Source: RefSeq, a predicted model, not a curated record
AAGAUAUCAUCAUCGUCACCACCAUCCUCAUCAGUCACCAUCAGUGGGUCCUCUCUACAGCGUGCUCUCUCUCAUAGAGGGGGAGUGUCAUGACUCUCUACAGUGUGCUCUCUCUCGUAGAGGGGGAGUGUCAUGACUCUCUACAGUGUGCUCUCUCUCGUAGAGGGGGAGUGUCAUGACUCUCUACAGUGUGCUCUCUCUCAUAGAGGGGGAGUGUCAUGACUCUCUACAGUGUGCUCUCUCUCAUAGAGGGGGAGUGUCAUGACUCUCUACAGUGUGCUCUCUCUCAUAGAGGGGGAGUGUCAUGACUCUCUACAGUGUGCUCUCUCUCAUAGAGGGGGAGUGUCAUGACUCUCUACAGUGUGCUCUCUCUCAUAGAGGGGGAGUGUCAUGACUCUCUACAGUGUGCUCUCUCUCAUAGAGGGGGAGUGUCAUGACUCUCUACAGUGUGCUCUCUCUCAUAGAGGGGGAGUGUCAUGACUCUCUACAGUGUGCUCUCUCUCGUAGAGGGGGAGUGUCAUGACUCUCUACAGUGUGCUCUCUCUCGUAGAGGGGGAGUGUCAUGACUCUCUACAGUGUGCUCUCUCUCAUAGAGGGGGAGUGUCAUGACUCUCUACAGUGUGCUCUCUCUCAUAGAGGGGGAGUGUCAUGACUCUCUACAGCGUGCUCUCUCUCAUAGAGGGGGAGUGUCAUGACUCUCUACAGUGUGCUCUCUCUCAUAGAGGGGGAGUGUCAUGACUCUCUACAGCGUGCUCUCUCUCAUAGAGGGGGAGUGUCAUGACUCUCUACAGUGUGCUCUCUCUCGUAGAGGGGGAGUGUCAUGACUCUCUACAGUGUGCUCUCUCUCAUAGAGGGGGAGUGUCAUGACUCUCUACAGUGUGCUCUCUCUCGUAGAGGGGGAGUGUCAUGACUCUCUACAGCGUGCUCUCUCUCAUAGAGGGGGAGUGUCAUGACUCUCUACAGCGUGCUCUCUCUCAUAGAGGGGGAGUGUCAUGACUCUCUACAGUGUGCUCUCUCUCAUAGAGGGGGAGUGUCAUGACUCUCUACAGUGUGCUCUCUCUCGUAGAGGGGGAGUGUCAUGACUCUCUACAGCGUGCUCUCUCUCAUAGAGGGGGAGUGUCAUGACUCUCUACAGUGUGCUCUCUCUCAUAGAGGGGGAGUGUCAUGACUCUCUACAGCGUGCUCUCUCUCAGAAGGGGGGGACUGUUUUAUGGCGGUCGUAAAAUACCCCUAUGCUCUGUAGUGUUCGAGGUUGGAAUGUAAACUGUGGAACACAGAGAGACACUUGGACAAUCAGAAGUUUUGAUAAUUAAGCAAUGUGGGAAUGGUCUGUGGAUAUUUAAAGAACAAUGCUGUCAAAGUUGUUUCAAUUGGUGACCUCAUGGUGACCUCAUGGUGACCUCAUGAAAGACAGGAGACCCACAUGAUUGUAUCUCCGCUUGUGUUUUCAAUGAUCAGACUCGCAUCUAGAUGUUGGAUAAAAUGAAUGACUGAAUAUGAAACUAUUUGUGAAAAGAUGUAAUGUAAUGUUGGCCUUCUAAAUGAGAAUUGUUCUCCAUAGAAAACAGUGAACUAGUCAGUGGCCACGCCCCCGUGAGGCCAGACAUUACAUCAUGGAACCGCCCCCUUCUUCCACAGAGUAUAAAACCCACUUCUGACUAAAUUUACAUUAAGUCAGAGAACGCCGGGACGGAUGGCUACGAUUCUAUAGGCCACUGGACCACGCAAACCACGGUGUAAGCUAAGGUGGCAAAAUGGUUGAAUUUCUAAGACCAGAAUUAUAUGAAGUGGUUGGCACUACAACUCUACCAAAGGACAAGACCAUACAGCGUGGAGCAUUGGCUACACAGCUGGAAAUGGUUCAACUAUCGAGACUAUCGAUUCACUACAGAAGUAAGAAAUCCUAGGACGUCAAACUAACCGUGUGUAGCUGGAAAUGUACGAAGCCUCGGACAAGAAUACAGGCAACCGCCGAAACAUCAAUCAUAUGCGACAACAUUGGGUACGGCUGACGUCUCCAUUACAACCAGAGACUUUUCUGUCUACUCUCUCCAGCAGAUGGACCGGGAGACAAGACAUCAAUCAUAUGCGACAACAUUGGGUACGGCUGACGUAUCCAUUACAACCAGAGACUUUUCUGUCUACUCUCUCCAGCAGAUGGACCGGGAGACAAGACAUCAAUCAUAUGCGACAACAUUGGGUACGCCUGACGUAUCCAUUAUGAACACAACCAGAGACUUUUCUGUCUACUCUCUCCAGCAGAUGGACCGGCCGACCACAGAGGGAGACAACAAGACAUACACUCGGAAAUAUGUAAAUUGCCAUUUAUUUUCGAAUGAGCGGUUGUUCAUAUUCAAAGUACUAGCGAUUUCUAUGAGUGUAGUAAUCAGCUAUGAGUCUCCCGCUCUUGAGCAGUCCCCACCCCCUUUCCUUUUGUCUACCAAGCCGUCAUAUCAGUUUGGUCCGCUAGGGACUUUUUCUUUGUAUCAUGUAGUAACCAAUGUAUGACCUAUUGUGUGUUUAUGUAAUUAUGUGAUUAAGUUAGUUAGUAAAUAAAUAAUUAAGCCCAUUUUUUUAUAUCACAGAUUAAUGAUUCUAUGCUAGGGUUGGUGCAGAUAUCCAAGGGUUUGCGACGUUCAGUAAUGAGAACUGAUGCGGUAACAAUACAUUAAUAAGUGACUGUAAACGAUAAGAUAUGAAAGCAUCUGAAGAGUUAUAGUGGGGGAAAUUGACACUCUAUAAAUAACAUGUUCCCGUGGUGCCCCAACUUCCUAGUUAAAUUUACAUUUGUUGAAUUGUGUAAUUAAAAUAAACAUAGAGAAUUGAUUUGAUAACAUUGUCUUCACAUUUAAUUAAAGUCAACGACACGACACCAGUGACUUACCAUUAGGCAGAAGAGGUAGAUAUCAUCACCAGUGACUUACCAUUAGACAGAAGAGGUAGAUAUCAUCACCAGUGACUUACCAUUAGGCAGAAGAGGUAGAUAUCAUCACCAGUGACUUACCAUUAGGCAGAAGAGGCAGAUAUCAUCACCAGUGACUUACCAUUAGGCAGAAGAGGUAGAUAUCAUCACCAGUGACUUACCAUUAGGCAGAAGAGGUAGAUAUCAUCACCAGUGACUUACCAUUAGACAGAUAUCAUUACCAGUGACUUACCAUUAGGCAGAAGAGGCAGAUAUCAUCACCAGUGACUUACCAUUAGGCAGAUAUCAUCACCAGUGACUUACCAUUAGACAGAUAUCAUUACCAGUGACUUACCAUUAGGCAGAAGAGGUAGAUAUCAUUACCAGUGACUUACCAUUAGGCAGAAGAGGUAGAUAUCAUUACCAGUGACUUACCAUUAGGCAGAAGAGGUAGAUAUCAUUACCAGUGACUUACCAUUAGACAGAUAUCAUCACCAGUGACUUACCAUUAGACAGAUAUCAUUACCAGUGACUUACCAUUAGACAGAUAUCAUCACCAGUGACUUACCAUUAGGCAGAAGAGGUAGAUAUCAUCACCAGUGACUUACCAUUAGACAGAUAUCAUUACCAGUGACUUACCAUUAGACAGAUAUCAUUACCAGUGACUUACCAUUAGACAGAUAUCAUUACCAGUGACUUACCAUUAGACAGAUAUCAUCACCAGUGACUUACCAUUAGGCAGAAGAGGUAGAUAUCAUCACCAGUGACUUACCAUUAGGCAGAAGAGGUAGAUAUCAUCACCAGUGACUUACCAUUAGGCAGAAGAGGUAGAUAUCAUUACCAGUGACUUACCAUUAGGCAGAAGAGGUAGAUAUCAUUACCAGUGACUUACCAUUAGGCAGAAGAGGUAGAUAUCAUUACCAGUGACUUACCAUUAGGCAGAAGAGGCAGAUAUCAUCAACAAUGACUUCUGAGCCGAUUGUGUUUUUUUGUUCGUUUAUAACUUAUUUUUUUACAUAAUGUUGCUGCUACCGUCUCUUAUGACCGAAAAUAACUUCUAGACAUCAGG